Molecule: long non-coding RNA, 272 nt
Filed under: Chlamydomonas reinhardtii
Lineage: Eukaryota; Viridiplantae; Chlorophyta; Chlorophyceae; Chlamydomonadales; Chlamydomonadaceae
Description: long non-coding RNA (CREI_LNC001414)
Source: RNAcentral
ACUGCCCCCUCUGCCACACCCCUGACUCCGGCGGGCACAUCCUCGGAGGCUGCACACACCCUAAAAUGAAAGGCGCGUACAUCAACCGGCACAACUGGGCAGUCCAGCGUGUCGCCAAAUGCAUCUCCAAAGGGACCUACGGGAACGGGUUCAUGGUCAUGGACGCGGGCCCCCUAGCCGACCUGCCACACUAUGCGUCUGCACAACGCCCCCCUGCCUGGCUGGCUGCGGAGAGGACAUCAUCACCCCUUAUUACAAGGCUCAGACCUGAC